GAUGAACGCUGGCGGCGUGCCUAAUACAUGCAAGUCGAGCGAACAGACGAGGAGCUUGCUCCUCUGACGUUAGCGGCGGACGGGUGAGUAACACGUGGAUAACCUACCUAUAAGACUGGGAUAACUUCGGGAAACCGGAGCUAAUACCGGAUAAUAUAUUGAACCGCAUGGUUCAAUAGUGAAAGACGGUUUUGCUGUCACUUAUAGAUGGAUCCGCGCCGCAUUAGCUAGUUGGUAAGGUAACGGCUUACCAAGGCGACGAUGCGUAGCCGACCUGAGAGGGUGAUCGGCCACACUGGAACUGAGACACGGUCCAGACUCCUACGGGAGGCAGCAGUAGGGAAUCUUCCGCAAUGGGCGAAAGCCUGACGGAGCAACGCCGCGUGAGUGAUGAAGGGCUUCGGAUCGUAAAACUCUGUUAUUAGGGAAGAACAAAUGUGUAAGUAACGAUGCACGUCUUGACGGUACCUAAGCAGAAAGCCACGGCUAACUACGU
Molecule: ribosomal RNA, 496 nt
Filed under: uncultured bacterium
Lineage: Bacteria
Description: partial 16S ribosomal RNA
Rfam family: Bacterial small subunit ribosomal RNA
Source: RNAcentral